This is a non-coding RNA of Escherichia coli str. K-12 substr. MG1655, 75 nucleotides long. NCBI's taxonomy places the organism in Bacteria, Pseudomonadati, Pseudomonadota, Gammaproteobacteria, Enterobacterales, Enterobacteriaceae. The record is from Rfam.
CCCAUUUAGGCACAAUGCGCCGCUGUCAAAAAAUGACUAAAAACCGACGUUUCAUCAGCGUCGGUUAUUUUUUGC